GAAUUCACUAGUGAUUCAGGCCUAACACAUGCAAGUCGAGCGGUAGAGAGAAGCUUGCUUCUCUUGAGAGCGGCGGACGGGUGAGUAAUGCCUAGGAAUCUGCCUGGUAGUGGGGGAUAACGUUCGGAAACGGACGCUAAUACCGCAUACGUCCUACGGGAGAAAGCAGGGGACCUUCGGGCCUUGCGCUAUCAGAUGAGCCUAGGUCGGAUUAGCUAGUUGGUGAGGUAAUGGCUCACCAAGGCGACGAUCCGUAACUGGUCUGAGAGGAUGAUCAGUCACACUGGAACUGAGACACGGUCCAGACUCCUACGGGAGGCAGCAGUGGGGAAUAUUGGACAAUGGGCGAAAGCCUGAUCCAGCAAGGCCGCGUGUGUGAAGAAGGUCUUCGGAUGUCAAUCAAGAGAAGUUGGGAGGAAGGGCAGUUACCUAAUAC
This 436-nucleotide ribosomal RNA is filed under the name uncultured bacterium. RNAcentral describes it as "bacterial SSU rRNA". It matches the Rfam family "Bacterial small subunit ribosomal RNA", at positions 34 to 465 of the family's 1533-position model. The record is from RNAcentral.